GGCAACUUGACUUGUAGAAGUGACAUUAUAACAACAGACAUUUGUAUAGGUAUAUAUCAUUAAAAAUCAAUGACACAGAAUACUCAUCUGUACAUUCACAGUUAAAUGUAAAACUAAACCGUGCAUCCUUAAAUGGAAAUUAUUCUUAAAGUGGCAUUGUCAUGUAGAACUAGCCUUUCUCAUAUCGUUUCGUCUUCUCUU
This is a non-coding RNA of Pelobates cultripes (western spadefoot toad), 201 nucleotides long. Lineage: Eukaryota; Metazoa; Chordata; Amphibia; Anura; Pelobatidae. The record is from the annotation of a GenBank genome assembly.